GACGAACGCUGGCGGCGUGCCUAAUACAUGCAAGUAGAACGCUGAAGAGAGGAGCUUGCUCUUCUUGGAUGAGUUGCGAACGGGUGAGUAACGCGUAGGUAACCUGCCUGGUAGCGGGGGAUAACUAUUGGAAACGAUAGCUAAUACCGCAUAAUAGUAGAUGUUGCAUGACAUUUGCUUAAAAGGUGCAAUUGCAUCACUACCAGAUGGACCUGCGUUGUAUUAGCUAGUUGGUGAGGUAACGGCUCACCAAGGCAACGAUACAUAGCCGACCUGAGAGGGUGAUCGGCCACACUGGGACUGAGACACGGCCCAGACUCCUACGGGAGGCAGCAGUAGGGAAUCUUCGGCAAUGGACGGAAGUCUGACCGAGCAACGCCGCGUGAGUGAAGAAGGUUUUCGGAUCGUAAAGCUCUGUUGUAAGAGAAGAAAGAGUGUGAGAGUGGAAAGUUCACACUGUGACGGUAUCUUACCAGAAAGGGACGGCUAACUACGUG
Molecule: ribosomal RNA, 497 nt
Filed under: uncultured bacterium
Lineage: Bacteria
Description: partial 16S ribosomal RNA
Rfam family: Bacterial small subunit ribosomal RNA
Source: RNAcentral